This 88-nucleotide small nuclear RNA is filed under the name Suricata suricatta (meerkat). Its description in RNAcentral is "U2 spliceosomal RNA (ENSSSUG00005005797.1)". It matches the Rfam family "U2 spliceosomal RNA". From Rfam's summary of the family: U2 is a small nuclear RNA (snRNA) component of the spliceosome (involved in pre-mRNA splicing). Complementary binding between U2 snRNA (in an area lying towards the 5' end but 3' to hairpin I) and the branchpoint sequence (BPS) of the intron results the bulging out of an unpaired adenosine, on the BPS, which initiates a nucleophilic attack at the intronic 5' splice site, thus starting the first of two transesterification reactions that mediate splicing. Lineage: Eukaryota; Metazoa; Chordata; Mammalia; Carnivora; Herpestidae. The record is from RNAcentral.
AUCACUUCUUGGCAUUUUGGCUAAGAUCAAGUGUAGUAUCUGUUCACAUCAGCUUAAUAUUUUUUCAAUAUUUUAAUAAUAACCUAUU